Molecule: long non-coding RNA, 159 nt
Organism: Sinocyclocheilus grahami
Lineage: Eukaryota; Metazoa; Chordata; Actinopteri; Cypriniformes; Cyprinidae
Exons: 3
Source: RefSeq, a predicted model, not a curated record
CACUAGCAAGAUUUCACAGAUGUUGCAUGACAUUCUAAAUGUUUGAUCUUCAGUGUACGUGUGUGAGGAGAACUGUUCUUCAGGACAUGAAAUGAGGAAUUGGGUGAGCCAGACAUCACUGACACAAACGCCUCUCCAGCUGAUUUUGUUAUCAUGGAC